Molecule: ribosomal RNA, 1174 nt
Filed under: bacterium
Lineage: Bacteria
Description: partial 23S ribosomal RNA
Rfam family: Bacterial large subunit ribosomal RNA
Source: RNAcentral
AGGUCAAGUUAUUAAGAGCAUAGGGUGGAUGCCUUGGCACCAGAAGCCGAUGAAGGACGCGGUAAGCUGCGAAAAGCUACGGGGAGUUGCAAGCGAACAUUGAUCCGUAGAUAUCCGAAUGGGGCAACCCGGCUGGAGUCAUGUCCAGUCAUCCUGACAUGAAUACAUAGUGUCAGGAAGGGAGACCCGGGGAACUGAAACAUCUAAGUACCCGGAGGAGUAGAAAGAAAAAUCGAUUCCCAAAGUAGCGGCGAGCGAAAUGGGAAGAGCCCAAACCAACGGCUACGGCUGUUGGGGUUGCGGACAGUCAAUAGUGUGAUGGCACGAAUCUAGUUGAAGAGGUCUGGAAAGGCCCACCAGAGAGGGUGACAGUCCCGUAAGCGAAAGAGGCAGGCCCGCCGACUGAUCCAGAGUACUACGGGGCACGUGAAACCCUGUAGGAAACCGGGAGGACCAUCUCCCAAGGCUAAAUACUUUCUGGUGACCGAUAGAGCAUAGUACCGUGAGGGAAAGGUGAAAAGAACCCCGGGAGGGGAGUGAAAUAGAACCUGAAACCCUAUGUUUACAAGCAGUGGAAGCACGUGAUGUGCGACCAUGUACUUUUUGUAGAACGGGCCAACGAGUUACGUUAUGCAGCGAGGUUAAGGUGCUGGAGCACUGGAGCCGCAGGGAAACCGAGUCUGAAUAGGGCGCAUCAGUUGCAUGGCGUAGACCCGAAACCGGGUGACCUAUCCAUGAACAGGUUGAAGCUGAAGUAAAAUUCAGUGGAGGACCGAACUCAUGUCUGUUGAAAAAGGCUGGGAUGAUUUGUGGAUAGCGGAGAAAUUCCAAUCGAACUCGGAGAUAGCUGGUUCUCCUCGAAAUAGCUUUAGGGCUAGCCUUGAUUGAAGUGACGCGGAGGUAGAGCACUGUUUGUCCUAGGGGCCUUCACCGGCUACCGAAGACUCACAAACUCCGAAUGCCGCAGUCAUAUGAUCAGGAGUCAGACUAUGUGUGAUAAGAUUCAUAGUCAAAAGGGAAACAGCCCAGACCAUCAGCUAAGGUCCCCAAGUGCAGACUAAGUGGAGAAGGAGGUGGGAUUGCACAGACAACCAGGAUGUUGGCUUAGAAGCAGCCAUUCAUUUAAAGAGUGCGUAAUAGCUCACUGGUCAAGUGGACAUGCGCCGACAAUUCA